Long non-coding RNA from Alexandromys fortis (reed vole), 2413 nucleotides. RefSeq lists it as uncharacterized. The transcript has 4 exons. Lineage: Eukaryota; Metazoa; Chordata; Mammalia; Rodentia; Cricetidae. The record is from RefSeq and is a predicted model, not a curated record.
UUGAACUCAAGACCUUUGGAAGAGCAGGCAAUGCUCUUAACCACUGAGCCAUCUCUCCAGCCCCCUCAAAUGAGUCUUUUAAAGAACCGGGCCUAGGCUGGGGAAGCUCAGCUACCAGCUCCAGGAUGCCAGGCCUUGUCAUCCUCCUGGUUUCAUAGUUCUCUUUCAAAGAAUAAUAUCAUUUUACGUAGUUUGUGGUGAAAGUUUAAUAUUAGGGUAUAAUGCCAUGCUCUGAGCUCAAUGGAGAAUCUUAUUCUUCUCUUCCAUGGCAAAGGGUAAAAGGAAGCCCACCUGAUCAGACCUUCCCAUGGGCCUCCGGGACACAGCUGGAUCUUGUAGAAUAUUAUUUUAAGAUGUGUUACACUUGUUUAUGCUGUGGAACAUUUAUUUAACGAUGCAAAGAGCCAAUCCGAAGAGCUGGGCACCUGAACACCUGCCCCACCAACUGUGAAGGAGAGGGCAGCACCUGCAAAGGUCAAAGGUCUUAUCCUUGAAACUCCAGCUCUUUCAAGUUCAUACUCAAAGAGUAGCGUGGCUAUGCUGGGGCUUGGUCCUGACCCAUGAGAGCUUUAACUCGACAGUCAAUGAGCUAACCCGACAGUUCCAGAAAGUGAGUUCUACUCCACACUGGUUAUGAGAAACCGAUGACUCCUUGCUUGGAGAUGGUAAACACCCCCAGACCCCCAUGGCUGUCCCUCCUUUGCUCCAAAGCAAGCACUUCCUGGGCUUCUGCUUUCAUGCCCAGCUGAGGUGGGAGGGUGCGGGGAGGGGGAUGCUAGAACCAAGGACCUGGAUGGGAACGUCAUCAAGCCUCUGGGCCAGCUGUAGCCACAGGCUUGGGGGCUGCUUUCAUAAUGACAUCUGAAUAUCCAAAAGAGCACUUCAGUAUUGUUCCAAGGCAGCCACUGGGCUGACUUCAAGGAGGACAGUGGCGGCAACAGGACAUCAACAUUAACAGUGUAAGUGUCAGAGAUGAGGGUCUGUGCUCAGAGCUUUAAGGACAUAAGCCCACAAAACUCUGAUGUGACAACUGAGGAAACCGAGGUCUAGUGAAUCACAUCCCUGUGGAAUGAGGAAGCCAGGAGUGGGACCCAGGCUGUCUGACCUCAUCCCUCCGUGCGCAUAGACCGACUCUCAGAGCUGCGGAUGAAUGAUGAAUACAGUCUUUCAGACACUCGCUGCAGAUGUGAGGGUCUGUCUGCCAUCAGGGACAAGCAGGACAUAUAGGGCAUGUACAGUCUUUCGUGGUGUCACCACAGUGAGGUGUCGUGUUCAGGGAGGCCACGGACUUGCUGGAGGACAUUUGGCAAGCUGAAAAAAUGGACUUUAAUCAUUGUGUUUGGUCAUCCAAGAAAGGAGCCAGGCUCUCAAGCAGGACACAGCCUCUCUGAACACACAGCACUGAACAAAGGCUCAGGAGCAGAGGAAAGAAGAGGUAACAGUCUACACCUCCGCAUCUGCGUGCCCACAGGCAACCCUGCCUUCUCCAGAGAAGCUGGGCCUUUCCCCUUUGUCAAAAUAGGACAAUGUGGGGAGCACGGGAUUCCUGACUGGAGGUCAGGCCAAGGGCCAGGGCUGUAGCUCAGGGGAAGAGUGCUUGCCUAACAUGCACGAAGAAAAACGCGGAUUGGAGUUGCUUCGACAAACAGGGGUCCAGUCCAUUUCCUCAAAGGUUGUGCCUGCCUGUAACUAGCUACCUGGCAUGGAGUGGGUGUGUGCUGGGCAUUACCCAGAAUUCUCAGGCAUUUCCACCGUUCCUUCUUUCCCAGGGAGCUUUGUUCCUCUAGGUAUAGCGAGGCUCUCUCAACAAAGGGGCACCUGUGGCGACCGGAGACUCACCGAAGCAGCUGUCCUGAGCGUGGGUAAUGGAGGAGGCUGCCGCGACGUGGGAGGUGGAGCGAUCUUUCUUGAGCCGGUCCACAGCGAAAAGGCUCGCCUAGUGGAGAAGCCACUUCAGCGUUCUCUUCUUUGCCACCCCACGAGCAAAUUUCUUGAAUUUCAGUCCCCACACACUGCUGUGUGUGAUGGCAAGAACUCUUCCCACACCCCCAUUUCUUUGUUUUUGUAGCCAGAGUCAUCCAAAGGAGGCAGAGAGACAGUAAUGGCCGAGCCUCUGGGAGGGGUUGGUGUGGUUCCUCAGGUUACCCAUCCCCUUUGCCCUUCACUUGCCUGUUUCUCCUCACUCAGUUUCUCUGCACACAGAACUCCAGGGAGUGAUGGGGCUUGAACCCAGGUCUUCAAACAAGCUAUGCAUACCUCCACCGCUGAGCUAACUACACCUCCAGUUCUCCUGUUCUGUCUUGUUUGCUUUGUGUCACAGUCUUAAGUGAUCAGCGGGGUUCCAUCUCCACUGUAGUUAAGACUAUGGGUAUAUGCCACUGUGCCCACCUAGGGAUAAAUAAAUUAUAUAUAU